GACAUCUGCUUGAGCAAUGGCACACAGCCCUCGGUUGUUGAGCUUUAUGCAGAGAAAGUCAACAACUGAGGGCUUUGUGCCAUUGCUCAAGCAGAGUC
This 98-nucleotide microRNA precursor is filed under the name Prunus persica (peach). RNAcentral's name for it is "miR8123 stem-loop (ppe-MIR8123)". Lineage: Eukaryota; Viridiplantae; Streptophyta; Magnoliopsida; Rosales; Rosaceae. The record is from miRBase by way of RNAcentral.